CAUCAGUAAAGCGGCGGACGGGUGAGUAACACGUAGGUAAUCUUCCCUUGAGCGGGGGACAACGAGCCGAAAGGCUCGCUAAUACCGCAUAAGUUCUCAGAGACUCCGGUCUUUGAGAGGAAAGCUAGGUAGCAAUAUCCGGCACUCGAGGAGGAGCCUGCGUCGCAUCAGCUAGUUGGUGGGGUAACGGCCCACCAAGGCGAAGACGCGUAGCUGGUCUGAGAGGAUGAUCAGCCACACUGGGACUGCGACACGGCCCAGACUCCUACGGGAGGCAGCAGUGGGGAAUAUUGGACAAUGGGCGCAAGCCUGAUCCAGCCACGCCGCGUGAGUGAUGAAGGCCUUCGGGUCGUAAAGCUCUGUGGGGAGGGACGAACCGCUGCGGGUUAAUACCCCGCAGCAUGACGGUACCUCCUUAGCAAGCACCGGCUAACUUCGUGCCAGCAGCCGCGGUAAUACGAAGGGUGCAAACGUUGCUCGGAAUUAUUGGGCGUAAAGCGCACGUAGGCGGCUUGGCAAGUCGGAUGUGAAAGCCCUCGGCUCAACCGAGGAAGUGCAUCCGAAACUGCUGAGCUUGAGUACUUAAGAGGAUCGCGGAAUUCCCGGUGUAGAGGUGAAAUUCGUAGAUAUCGGGAGGAACACCAGUGGCGAAGG
Molecule: ribosomal RNA, 654 nt
Filed under: uncultured bacterium
Lineage: Bacteria
Description: bacterial SSU rRNA
Rfam family: Bacterial small subunit ribosomal RNA
Source: RNAcentral